CGGUGUCGAGCGCACUCGUUCACAAUGUUCGGGGCAGGAAUUCAACCCUUGGGAUCUGCAUUAUCCGCUGCCCCACAAUAGCUGCAGCAGCAACAGGACCGAACCGACCGCUCUACUGAUUGCGGUCAAAUUUCGUGGCAGGAGAAAAAACCCCACAAGUGUAUCGAUUUCAUCGACGGCCGCUCGCUGGCAGCACCAACAUGCCACCGAAUAACCCCGGAAAGGCGACAAACACUCAUCGCGGCAAAUUGGUAACAUUAACCCACUUCCGCACAUCUAUACGACAUCACGUUAAUAGUGUUAUUGUGAUGAUGUUAACGAGUUAAGAUUAGACUUAAGUACGCUUUAAGGCAUACAUCGAUAUGCCUAAUUUUAAGUUAAGUGUUUUGACAUGCGCGUGUGUGUGAAGGGUCGAGAUAAGCGCUAAGCAAACUAAGCGGCCGCGUAGGGCCCCGUGGUCUUGAGGGGCCCCAAAAAUGGAACCCACCCCUCGCUCGCUAGUAAAAUUUACAUUUGUGCUUGUAAACCUACAUUUAUGAGACUGCCUCCACUCGUAUGUGCGGGUUUUAUACAACAUUUAAGAUAAAUAAAUCUAGUUUAUAUUCUCAUAAAUCA
This is a long non-coding RNA of Anopheles arabiensis, 615 nucleotides long. RefSeq lists it as uncharacterized. The transcript has 2 exons. The record is from RefSeq and is a predicted model, not a curated record. Lineage: Eukaryota; Metazoa; Arthropoda; Insecta; Diptera; Culicidae.